RNAcentral lists this ribosomal RNA (439 nucleotides) under uncultured bacterium. Its description in RNAcentral is "bacterial SSU rRNA". It matches the Rfam family "Bacterial small subunit ribosomal RNA", at positions 338 to 794 of the family's 1533-position model. The record is from RNAcentral.
CCUACGGGGGGCAGCAGUGGGGAAUAUUGCACAAUGGGGGAAACCCUGAUGCAGCGACGCCGCGUGGGUGAAGAAGUAUUUCGGUAUGUAAAGCCCUAUCAGCAGGGAAGAAAAUGACGGUACCUGACUAAGAAGCCCCGGCUAACUACGUGCCAGCAGCCGCGGUAAUACGUAGGGGGCAAGCGUUAUCCGGAUUUACUGGGUGUAAAGGGAGCGUAGGUGGCGUGCCAAGUCAGGAGUGAAAACCCAGGGCCCAACCCUGGGACUGCUCUUGAAACUGGCAGGCUUGAGUGCUGGAGAGGUAAGCGGAAUUCCUAGUGUAGCGGUGAAAUGCGUAGAUAUUAGGAGGAACACCAGUGGCGAAGGCGGCUUACUGGACAGUGACUGACACUGAGGCUCGAAAGCGUGGGGAGCAAACAGGAUUAGAUACCCCAGUAGU